RNAcentral lists this ribosomal RNA (253 nucleotides) under uncultured Geothermobacter sp. RNAcentral describes it as "partial 16S ribosomal RNA". It matches the Rfam family "Bacterial small subunit ribosomal RNA", at positions 524 to 776 of the family's 1533-position model. Lineage: Bacteria; Pseudomonadati; Thermodesulfobacteriota; Desulfuromonadia; Desulfuromonadales; Geothermobacteraceae. The record is from RNAcentral.
UACGGAGGGUGCGAGCGUUGUUCGGAAUCAUUGGGCGUAAAGCGCGUGUAGGCGGCCAUAUAAGUCUGGUGUGAAAGCCCGGGGCUUAACCCCGGAAGUGCAUUGGAUACUGCAUGGCUAGAGGACGGGAGAGGGAAGCGGAAUUCUUGGUGUAGGGGUGAAAUCCGUAGAUAUCAAGAGGAACAUCAGAAGCGAAGGCGGCUUCCUGGUCCGUUACUGACGCUGAGACGCGAAAGCGUGGGGAGCAAACAGG